This 712-nucleotide long non-coding RNA is filed under the name Strongylocentrotus purpuratus (purple sea urchin). RNAcentral describes it as "uncharacterized LOC105442975, transcript variant X1". Lineage: Eukaryota; Metazoa; Echinodermata; Echinoidea; Camarodonta; Strongylocentrotidae. The record is from RNAcentral.
GUUGUUGCCUGUGAAUGGUAAAGUUGUUGCAAAAAUGGUAAAUGUGUUGCUUUUUUUACCGAUUUGGUAAAGUUGUUGCCCAAAGCAACAACUUUCCAUAUGAAAAUUGGUAAAUGUGUUGUCAUCACCAUUGACAAUACACACGAGCCUGCUCCUGCGUGUAUUAUCGCAUAGACUUUAAAAGAGGCUACCAAGGCGCUUGAUGGAUGCGCAUGCUGCAUGCAUGGAGUCCUACAUAUAUACAUGUAUGUACAGUUUGACAGAAUGAUGGUGUUAUGGAUGAAUGAGAUGAGAAUUACGAAUGGAGGUGCUCCCAGUGAUUCCAGAGCUGUUCUUCCAAGAGAGUGUCAACUAGCACUGAGCCUGGAUGUAAGGAUGUUCCUUCUGGAUCAAGAAGCGAUUUGAUUGUGGAGCCUGGAUGUAAGGAUGUUCCUUCUGGAUCAAGAAGCGAUUUGAUUGUGGAGCCUGGAUGUAAGGAUGUUCCUUCUGGAUCAAGAAGCGAUUUGAUUGUGCUUACUGUUGUACAAAGUUGGCAACCGAGUAUUGGGGAAGCAGUUGUGCACACAACGUGUCAGCGUAGACUCCUCUAACCAGAUGGAGAGCAGACAAUGAUCAAGCUCAUUUUACAGGCUGCCCUUUCAAAUGCGUCCAAGAUGAAGAAAAGGCCAUUUCGAGCAUUGACCAAUGCUGUGUAUGACCCGAUGUCUAGGAA